CCCUUUGUCGCUAAGAUUCG
This 20-nucleotide small nuclear RNA is filed under the name Arabidopsis thaliana (thale cress). RNAcentral describes it as "snRNA_05705". The record is from RNAcentral. Lineage: Eukaryota; Viridiplantae; Streptophyta; Magnoliopsida; Brassicales; Brassicaceae.